Molecule: ribosomal RNA, 788 nt
Filed under: Phytophthora palmivora
Lineage: Eukaryota; Oomycota; Peronosporomycetes; Peronosporales; Peronosporaceae
Description: partial 5.8S ribosomal RNA
Rfam family: 5.8S ribosomal RNA (bases 221-375)
Source: RNAcentral
ACAUUACCACACCUAAAAACUUUCCACGUGAACCGUAUCAAAACUUAGUUGGGGGUCUCUUUCGGCGGCGGCUGCUGGCUUCAUUGCUGGCGGCUGCUGUUGGGAGAGCUCUAUCAUGGCGAGCGUUUGGGCUUCGGUCUGAACUAGUAGCUUUUUUAAACCCAUUCUUUAUAACUGAUUAUACUGUAGGGACGAAAGUCUCUGCUUUUAACUAGAUAGCAACUUUCAGCAGUGGAUGUCUAGGCUCGCACAUCGAUGAAGAACGCUGCGAACUGCGAUACGUAAUGCGAAUUGCAGGAUUCAGUGAGUCAUCGAAAUUUUGAACGCAUAUUGCACUUCCGGGUUAGUCCUGGGAGUAUGCCUGUAUCAGUGUCCGUACAUCAAACUUGGUUUUCUUCCUUCCGUGUAGUCGGUGGUGGAUGUGCCAGAUGUGAAGUGUCUUGCGGCUGGUCUUCGGAUCGGCUGUGAGUCCUUUGAAAUGUACUGAACUGUACUUCUCUUUGCUCCAAAAGCGUGGCGUUGCUGAUUGUGGAGGCUGCUUGCGUAGCCAGUCUGGCGACCAGUUUGUCUGCUGUGGGUUAAUGGAAGAGUGUGCGAUACGCGGUAUGGUUGGCUUCGGCUGAACAGACGCUUAUUGUAAAUUUCUUCAGCUGUGGUGGUAUGAUUGGUGAACCGUAACUAUGUGUGCUUGGCUUUUGAAUUGGCUUUGCUGGUGCCAAUAGAGUGGCGGCCUCCGCUGUCGAGGGUCGAUUCAUUUGGAACCUGUGUAUGCUUCGGCAUGCAUCUCA